CCUUUAAUGAAAAUAAUAUGAAAAAAAUCAAUAAAAUGGGCAACCAGUCUUUGGAAGAAGAGGAGAUCUCUGUCUCCCUCUUUAAAGGCGGAGUCCAUGAUGUUUGAAAGCCAAUGUUGAUAUUUGAAAUCACCUAAACAAACACGCCCCUACCCCAAUAGAAUCUGGACCUUCUGUUGAUAGACCCGCCCCACACAUACGCAACCCGGCAUUUGAUUUGAUUUGAUUGGCUAUAAGUGUGUUUUGGUAGUCGGCCCGUCUUCUUUUCCAAAGCGUUUUUCAAACAUCGUGGACUCCGCCUUUAAAUGACCUGUAUGAAUGGGUUUUAUUCCCUAUCAAAUUAAGGUCUAAUGGACAGUAGAUAUGUUAGUUAAAGGGUUUUAGGUAUGAUACUAUGAAAGAAAAAAGCACUAAAAAGACCAAUAACCUUGAUUAUUAACCUAUUGACACAGUAUACACCAUUUCCCCAUAAUAUAUAUGUACUUACAAGGCAUUUGCCCACCGGCAACUAUAGUUGCCGCUUGGACUUUUGACUAAGUAUAUAAAAAACUAUAGAUCUCUUGUAAGAUUUGUUUUGUUUGGAUGACUCUAGAGACCUUCAUGAUUAUGUAGAUACAUAAAUGUCAACCAAAAAUACUUGUUAGUAAAAUGAAAAUUACCUUUCUUUUGGAGGGUUUGCCUUCGCCAUGUUUCUUGGAAGAAGAGGUAAGAAGUUGACAGCCUCAUGUGACAGGAAGGAGAUAAAUACCUUUUCUUUCUUUUUUAAAUCCUUUAUUUGAUUGUUAGCUUGCAUGUCAUUGAGAAAUAAAACAUGGAUAACAUCUAAAAAAUUCUUAAAAAAAGGAAAAUGACAACUAUGCACUGUGGCAACUAUAGUUGCCGGUGGGCUGAAAUGGGUUAAAAUAGGGCCCAUGAUGUAUUUAGCUAGUGAUACCACUACCAGUCUUAAAUGUAUAACUGAUGAUGACAGAGUUUUUUUUCUCUCUGCAUAAUCAUAGGAACCCAGGCAGUACCGUCGUUUCACAAUGUUUCCAUCACCAUCAUCAGUGGAUGCCUUUGCCGUCUGUAGCCUGAGAUUUCAGAUUUGCAGCAAAAAAUUUGAUUUUCCCAUUUAUUGGAAUGCUGUGCAGGUUGUACCUUGCAGCCAUCCAUUACAACGUUACCAAGCCGUAACAAAAGCAGGAGAGGGAAAGUAUAAGGUUAUGUUCCCAAAAAACACAAGCGACAUACUUUAUAUGGAUGAUGUGAUCAGGCUUGUGUUUGAUGAGGUAUUUGAAGAUAAGCUGAAGGAAACCCCGAUUCCAAUGGACCUGGCAUCACAGUUUGAGAGACCUUCAAAGGACGUGAUUGCAUGCCAUCUUCAGUGUAGGGGUCGUCUGAAGCCAACAUACUGACCAGUCAGAUCAGGAAGCUCCAAGCGUAUCUUGAGAACAACACACGACAGGAUGAUAACCCUAUAGUGUCGUCUUAAAUAGCAGCAGCUGACAAAGCUUUGAUAUGCCAUUUAUCUGUAUAGAAUAGAUAGCUGUAAGAUGUGAAAUGAACAAUUUUUGAAAGAAGAGCACAAUAUGGUUACUAAAGUAUGUUUAUUUGUAUAUUGUUUAACAUUUAAAUAUAUAUUUGUAAUAAAUAAAAAAACUUUUGAUUGAGUACUAUAUUUUCUUUAAAGUUACAUCUUUUGUUAUUUUGGGUACUUUGUUACUAUAAUGAUACUCGUUUAAAAAUGUAAUAAAACUUACUCUAGUCCUGCGCCUCAAAGGCUUAUAGUCGGUACAAUAAAUGUUCUGUGUGUAGGGAUUUAGACAAUUAGUGCAAAACCUGGAUGAUGGAUCAUGCAGGUAAGAGGCCCUGGAACCUGUUGCAUUCUCCUUAAAACCUAAUAAGUAAAAACAUAGCACGUAUAAGUAAGCAGUCUUUCAUAAUAAAGUUUACCAUAGUGAAAUAAUGUAGAACUAACAUUCAUUUCAAUUAAUACUUUCUAUGUGCUA
Molecule: long non-coding RNA, 1988 nt
Organism: Misgurnus anguillicaudatus (oriental weatherfish)
Lineage: Eukaryota; Metazoa; Chordata; Actinopteri; Cypriniformes; Cobitidae
Source: RefSeq, a predicted model, not a curated record